This 446-nucleotide long non-coding RNA is filed under the name Castor canadensis (American beaver). Its description in RNAcentral is "lncRNA (ENSCCNG00000003129.1)". Lineage: Eukaryota; Metazoa; Chordata; Mammalia; Rodentia; Castoridae. The record is from RNAcentral.
UGCACGGCUUUGAAGGCAUCAGGAAAUGAAGCACUGGAAGACAUCAGGCCCUGGCCUGAAACAUUACUUCAUAACUUGCAAGAUGGCUGAAGCAGGAGGCUCACUGCAAGAGAAUCAUGUGGAUGCAAUUCUUCAGGUUCAGGAAAUGGAAAGGAUGGCCUGUCAUGCUCCAUGUUUCUCUCAGUCCCCACUUCUAUGGCCAUACCAGAGAUGACUUUGCAGUAUGCAGCUUAGUAUGCAUCCAGCACAGACUUUUCUCCAGGUGUGUGAGUUAACGAUGAAUGCUUCAGCACUUCCCUGGCCAUGCAUAAACAUCUACAUGCAAAACAGCAAGGAGCGCUCUGUUUAUCACAGCUGCAGUCAAGCCAACGAAACUGUUUCUACCAUUGAAGAUGAAAUUGUAAAGUUCUAUCUCGAAAAUUAAAAUAAAAUAAACAUCUUAUUCA